Molecule: ribosomal RNA, 425 nt
Filed under: uncultured bacterium
Lineage: Bacteria
Description: partial 16S ribosomal RNA
Rfam family: Bacterial small subunit ribosomal RNA
Source: RNAcentral
GUGGGGAAUAUUGCACAAUGGGGGAAACCCUGAUGCAGCGACGCCGCGUGGAGGAUGACGGCCUUCGGGUUGUAAACUCCUUUUGUCAGGGACAAUGGUGAUGGUACCUGACGAAUAAGCCACGGCUAACUCUGUGCCAGCAGCCGCGGUAAGACAGAGGUGGCGAGCGUUGUUCGGAAUUACUGGGCUUAAAGGGCGCGUAGGCGGUGGUGUAAGUCUGGGGUGGAAUGCUACAGCUCAACUGUAGAGCUGCCUUGGAAAAUGCAUUACUUGAGUCGGUGAGGGGAGGGCGGAAUUCCUGGUGUAGCGGUGAAAUGCGUAGAUAUCAGGAGGAAGGUCUGUGGCGAAGGCGGCCUUCUGGCACUUGACUGACGCUGAGGCGCGAAAGCGUGGGGAGCAAACAGGAUUAGAAACCCUGGUAGUCC